CGGGACGGGUGAGUAACGCGUGGAUAACCUGCCUCACACUGGGGGAUAACAGUUAGAAAUGGCUGCUAAUACCGCAUAAGCGCACAGUACCGCAUGGUACGGUGUGAAAAACCCAGGUGGUGUGAGAUGGAUCCGCGUCUGAUUAGCCAGUUGGCGGGGUAACGGCCCACCAAAGCGACGAUCAAUAGCCGACCUGAGAGGGUGACCGGCCACAUUGGGACUGAGACACGGCCCAA
Molecule: ribosomal RNA, 236 nt
Filed under: uncultured bacterium
Lineage: Bacteria
Description: partial 16S ribosomal RNA
Rfam family: Bacterial small subunit ribosomal RNA
Source: RNAcentral